UACGGAGGGCGCAAGCGUUGUUCGGAAUCACUGGGCGUAAAGCGCGUGUAGGCGGCUUGGCAAGUCGGGUGUGAAAUCCCGAGGCUCAACCUCGGAACUGCACUCGAAACUGCCUGGCUUGAGUCCCGGAGAGGGUGGCGGAAUUCCCGGUGUAGGGGUGAAAUGCAUAGAUAUUGUCAAGAACACCGAUAGCGAAGGCAGCUUGCUAGCCUGUAACUGACGCUGAGGCACGAAAGUGUGGGGAUCAAACAGG
Molecule: ribosomal RNA, 253 nt
Filed under: uncultured bacterium
Lineage: Bacteria
Description: partial 16S ribosomal RNA
Rfam family: Bacterial small subunit ribosomal RNA
Source: RNAcentral